RNAcentral lists this ribosomal RNA (465 nucleotides) under Vreelandella stevensii. RNAcentral's name for it is "partial 16S ribosomal RNA". It matches the Rfam family "Bacterial small subunit ribosomal RNA", at positions 338 to 795 of the family's 1533-position model. The record is from RNAcentral. Lineage: Bacteria; Pseudomonadati; Pseudomonadota; Gammaproteobacteria; Oceanospirillales; Halomonadaceae.
CCUACGGGAGGCAGCAGUGGGGAAUAUUGGACAAUGGGGGCAACCCUGAUCCAGCCAUGCCGCGUGUGUGAAGAAGGCCCUCGGGUUGUAAAGCACUUUCAGUGAGGAAGAACGCCUGGUGGUUAAUACCCAUCAGGAAAGACAUCACUCACAGAAGAAGCACCGGCUAACUCCGUGCCAGCAGCCGCGGUAAUACGGAGGGUGCGAGCGUUAAUCGGAAUUACUGGGCGUAAAGCGCGCGUAGGUGGCUUGAUAAGCCGGUUGUGAAAGCCCCGGGCUCAACCUGGGAACGGCAUCCGGAACUGUCAAGCUAGAGUGCAGGAGAGGAAGGUAGAAUUCCCGGUGUAGCGGUGAAAUGCGUAGAGAUCGGGAGGAAUACCAGUGGCGAAGGCGGCCUUCUGGACUGACACUGACACUGAGGUGCGAAAGCGUGGGUAGCAAACAGUAUUAGAUACCCGUGUAGUC